RNAcentral lists this ribosomal RNA (799 nucleotides) under uncultured bacterium. RNAcentral's name for it is "bacterial SSU rRNA". It matches the Rfam family "Bacterial small subunit ribosomal RNA", at positions 8 to 796 of the family's 1533-position model. The record is from RNAcentral.
AGAGUUUGAUCCUGGCUCAGGAUGAACGCUAGCGGCAGGCUUAAUACAUGCAAGUCGUGGGGCAGCAUGUCCCGCAGCAAUGCGGGAUGAUGGCGACCGGCAAACGGGUGCGGAACACGUACGCAACCUUCCUUUAACUGGAGAAUAGCCCGGGGAAACCCGGAUUAAUACUCCGUAACAUUAUGAAGUGGCAUCACUUUAUAAUUAUAGCUCCGGCGGUUAAAGAUGGGCGUGCGUCUGAUUAGGUAGUUGGCGGGGUAACGGCCCACCAAGCCUACGAUCAGUAACUGGUGUGAGAGCACGACCAGUCACACGGGCACUGAGACACGGGCCCGACUCCUACGGGAGGCAGCAGUAAGGAAUAUUGGUCAAUGGACGCAAGUCUGAACCAGCCAUGCCGCGUGGAGGAUGAAGGUCCUCUGGAUUGUAAACUUCUUUUAUUUGGGAAGAAACCCCCGAUUUCUAUUGGGGUUGACGGUACCAGAUGAAUAAGCACCGGCUAACUCCGUGCCAGCAGCCGCGGUAAUACGGAGGGUGCAAGCGUUAUCCGGAUUCACUGGGUUUAAAGGGUGCGUAGGCGGGUUGGUAAGUCCGUGGUGAAAUCUCCAAGCUUAACUUGGAAACUGCCGUGGAUACUAUCAAUCUUGAAUAUAGUGGAGGUGAGCGGAAUAUGUCAUGUAGCGGUGAAAUGCUUAGAUAUGACAUAGAACACCCAUUGCGAAGGCAGCUCGCUACACUAUUAUUGACGCUGAGGCACGAAAGCGUGGGGAUCAAACAGGAUUAGAUACCCCAGUAGUCC